This 539-nucleotide ribosomal RNA is filed under the name Trichoderma koningii. Its description in RNAcentral is "eukaryotic LSU rRNA". The stretch from base 149 to 302 matches the Rfam family "5.8S ribosomal RNA". Lineage: Eukaryota; Fungi; Ascomycota; Sordariomycetes; Hypocreales; Hypocreaceae. RNAcentral also lists the same sequence under 1 other name. The record is from RNAcentral.
CCAAACUGUUGCCUCGGCGGGGUCACGCCCCGGGUGCGUCGCAGCCCCGGAACCAGGCGCCCGCCGGAGGGACCAACCAAACUCUUUCUGUAGUCCCCUCGCGGACGUUAUUUCUUACAGCUCUGAGCAAAAAUUCAAAAUGAAUCAAAACUUUCAACAACGGAUCUCUUGGUUCUGGCAUCGAUGAAGAACGCAGCGAAAUGCGAUAAGUAAUGUGAAUUGCAGAAUUCAGUGAAUCAUCGAAUCUUUGAACGCACAUUGCGCCCGCCAGUAUUCUGGCGGGCAUGCCUGUCCGAGCGUCAUUUCAACCCUCGAACCCCUCCGGGGGGUCGGCGUUGGGGAUCGGGAACCCCUAAGACGGGAUCCCGGCCCCGAAAUACAGUGGCGGUCUCGCCGCAGCCUCUCCUGCGCAGUAGUUUGCACAACUCGCACCGGGAGCGCGGCGCGUCCACGUCCGUAAAACACCCAACUUCUGAAAUGUUGACCUCGGAUCAGGUAGGAAUACCCGCUGAACUUAAGCAUAUCAAUAAGCGGAGGAA